Molecule: long non-coding RNA, 301 nt
Organism: Hevea brasiliensis (rubber tree)
Lineage: Eukaryota; Viridiplantae; Streptophyta; Magnoliopsida; Malpighiales; Euphorbiaceae
Exons: 2
Source: RefSeq, a predicted model, not a curated record
AAAAUUUUCUUAUUUCUUCCUUAAUUUUUUUUCUUUCUUCUUCAUUCUUUAUCACCGACAAAGACCAAUUCCUAUCAGUUCUUCAUGCUCUGUUGCAUGGCAAAUACAUUGAUUUAUAUCCACGGCAUGUAACCCACGGCGACGGUGUUCAUCCUUAUUCUUCGAGUAGUUCUUCCAUUGUGUGUUGUUUAAUUAUACACCUGAAUUCCUCAUCCUAUAAUUUCAAUUUGAUUGUGUUGCUUUUAUAAUGUCUCAAUUUUUUUUUCUAGAGUUGAAUAUAUUUGUUUUGCUUUAAUUUGAA